UUUUGAAAAAAAAUAUUUGUUUUGCCCUCUGACAAAUAAAAUUUGUACCAUCCGUAAUAUAAAGGUGUAGUUUGUCUUCGAAGAAUAAGUCAAAUAUUGAGUAGCGCUCAAAUUCAAUUUUCCCAAUGAUAGUUUACUAAUUUAUUUCAUUCAAAACUACUCCUGCAAGUUGCAUGUAGUUCAAAUCGCGCGAUAAGCGCUUCUAACAAUUACGAUACAUGUGCUGAUUGGUAUCUUCUCGGUCAAUAAAUCACCCACUGUUUACACUUCUACUGCCGGCGUCUGGCGGCGGACGAGAGAGAGAGAGUAACAAAAACAAAACAGGUUCCUCGCCUCAUGCGACGAUGUCUAUCUGGCCAGAGCUUUGAAAGCUUCCACCGCUCCGCGCUCUCUCACUAUCUUUUUCUCACGAGCUCCAGCAUUAAAGCUCCCAUAAUCGCGCUCAAUUUCCAAUCAGCUUCAGCGCGCGUACAAAAAGCCACCUAGCGUUGCUCACUUUUCUCAGUUCUUGACGCGAUUUCCAUCUGUUCUGAUCGAGUUGGCCGUGACCGGGCUGUGCUUUUAUUUGUUUUUCUUCUCUCUUUUUGUUCGACUUGCACUCGUGUGAGCAUAGAUUAGUGAACCCCCAAUUGCAUCGCCUACCGCGAUCGAACGUGCAGUGAAGUGUGCCGAAAUUAAAACGAUGACCAAAUUUACGAUUGAGCUGGAAGAGCGGCAAAGAUUUGUUGUAUAGCUAGAUGAUCAGGGAGAAUAUCAGAUUAUGAUAUAAUAAACAUGUUUAUAUUAUUUAUUUGAUUUGUAACUAAUAAUAAAGAAAAACAAAAGCACUCUUUUAAACCUUUGUACAUGUUUGGCUGACUCAAAAAACACGUUUACAGUACAGAAUACUCUCAGUUUUUGUCAAAAAAAA
Long non-coding RNA from Culex quinquefasciatus (southern house mosquito), 910 nucleotides. RefSeq lists it as uncharacterized. The record is from RefSeq and is a predicted model, not a curated record. NCBI's taxonomy places the organism in Eukaryota, Metazoa, Arthropoda, Insecta, Diptera, Culicidae. The transcript has 2 exons.